GUGGGGAAUUUUGGACAAUGGGCGCAAGCCUGAUCCAGCAAUGCCGCGUGCAGGAAGAAGGCCUUCGGGUUGUAAACUGCUUUUGUACGGAACGAAACGGUCCUGGUUAAUACCCGGGGCUAAUGACGGUACCGUAAGAAUAAGCACCGGCUAACUACGUGCCAGCAGCCGCGGUAAUACGUAGGGUGCAAGCGUUAAUCGGAAUUACUGGGCGUAAAGCGUGCGCAGGCGGUGCUGUAAGACAGGCGUGAAAUCCCCGGGCUUAACCUGGGAAUUGCGCUUGUGACUGCAGUGCUGGAGUGCGGCAGAGGGGGAUGGAAGUCCGCGUGUAGCAGUGAAAUGCGUAGAUAUGCGGAGGAACACCGAUGGCGAAGGCAAUCCCCUGGGCCUGCACUGACGCUCAUGCACGAAAGCGUGGGGAGCAAACAGGAUUAGAAACCCGAGUAGUCC
Molecule: ribosomal RNA, 450 nt
Filed under: uncultured bacterium
Lineage: Bacteria
Description: partial 16S ribosomal RNA
Rfam family: Bacterial small subunit ribosomal RNA
Source: RNAcentral